GGGGCCUUAGCUCAGCUGGGAGAGCGCAACACUGGCAGUGUUGAGGUCAGCGGCUCGAUCCCGCUAGGCUCCA
This 73-nucleotide transfer RNA is filed under the name Porticoccaceae bacterium. RNAcentral describes it as "tRNA-Ala". It matches the Rfam family "tRNA". From Rfam's summary of the family: Transfer RNA (tRNA) molecules are approximately 80 nucleotides in length. Their secondary structure includes four short double-helical elements and three loops (D, anti-codon, and T loops). Further hydrogen bonds mediate the characteristic L-shaped molecular structure. tRNAs have two regions of fundamental functional importance: the anti-codon, which is responsible for specific mRNA codon recognition, and the 3' end, to which the tRNAs corresponding amino acid is attached (by aminoacyl-tRNA synthetases). tRNAs cope with the degeneracy of the genetic code in two manners: having more than one tRNA (with a specific anti-codon) for a particular amino acid; and 'wobble' base-pairing, i.e. permitting non-standard base-pairing at the 3rd anti-codon position. Lineage: Bacteria; Pseudomonadati; Pseudomonadota; Gammaproteobacteria; Cellvibrionales; Porticoccaceae. The record is from RNAcentral.